CCCUUAUUGAGCAACCCCCAGUAAGAAGAAGAGAGAAAUUCGCCAUUUUCACAAAAUUGGAAAUGGCAAGAAUGAUUCAGCCAUAACACUAAACCCAUUCUUAAAUCAUCAAUACCCUAUAUCUGUAAUUAAAUUAACACUCAAAACUUUGCAAGAAUUGCGCAUAAACCCACCGAGAAUGCGAGUGACCGAAUCAGGCAGAGAAUGCUAGUGAGAGAAUAACAGAUAGAAGUGGCAGUGCGAGAGAGAAAGUGAGAGCGUGUGAGAGAGAACGAGAACCAGAGAAUGACAGUGCGAGAAGAGAACGAGAGAGUGGCAGAGGGAGAGAGAAAGUACUAACCAAAGAAAGC
Molecule: unclassified non-coding RNA, 350 nt
Filed under: Hevea brasiliensis (rubber tree)
Lineage: Eukaryota; Viridiplantae; Streptophyta; Magnoliopsida; Malpighiales; Euphorbiaceae
Source: RNAcentral